RNAcentral lists this small RNA (150 nucleotides) under Marmota marmota marmota (Alpine marmot). RNAcentral's name for it is "7SK RNA (ENSMMMG00000010263.1)". It matches the Rfam family "7SK RNA", at positions 109 to 260 of the family's 331-position model. From Rfam's summary of the family: 7SK was discovered as an abundant small nuclear RNA in the mid-70s but a possible function has only recently been suggested. Two independent studies have found that 7SK RNA binds the CDK9/cyclin T complex (known as elongation factor P-TEFb). The record is from RNAcentral. Lineage: Eukaryota; Metazoa; Chordata; Mammalia; Rodentia; Sciuridae.
UCCAUAUUACCACUGAGCAUUCGAUCAAAGAAGAUGACCUUCCCCAAUAGAGGAGGACUCUUCUUUGGUCAAGGAUAUACGAGUAGCUGCAUUCCCCUGCUAGAAGCUCCAAACAAGCUGUCAAAGUCCAUAUUACUGUUGAAUAGGAGC